ACUGUGAUGACUUUGCUUAAUUUGAUCCACUGGAGCUGAUGUUCUUUUCAGUUGUUCUCUAAGAAGUACUGAGUCU
Clarias gariepinus (North African catfish) is the source of this 76-nucleotide small nucleolar RNA. RefSeq annotates it as small nucleolar RNA SNORD61. NCBI's taxonomy places the organism in Eukaryota, Metazoa, Chordata, Actinopteri, Siluriformes, Clariidae. The transcript has a single exon. The record is from RefSeq and is a predicted model, not a curated record.